Molecule: transfer RNA, 76 nt
Filed under: Actinomycetes bacterium
Lineage: Bacteria; Bacillati; Actinomycetota; Actinomycetes
Also listed under: 3 other names
Description: tRNA-Thr
Rfam family: tRNA
About the family: Transfer RNA (tRNA) molecules are approximately 80 nucleotides in length. Their secondary structure includes four short double-helical elements and three loops (D, anti-codon, and T loops).
Source: RNAcentral
GCCUGGGUAGCUCAGUUGGUAGAGCAACGCAUUCGUAAUGCGUAGGUCAGGGGUUCGAAUCCCCUCUCAGGCUCCA